AAUCAUGUAACUUGUAAACUAUAUUGGGCAGUCCCUAUUUUUUGGUGCCAACUAUGAUUAUGAAUUCAAGGCUGACCUAAUGCAAUCUGGGCGGUAUAAUCUCAUACAAAUGUAAGCACAUUCAUUUAAAAUAAAGCACAAUCUAUAAAAUCAUCGAAUCAUCUACUUAUGACCAGCAAAGUAAUCUCUGCAAAUCUGCAUUCCAAAUAACAGCGAAUUUGCUCAGGGCUUCAUUUAGGGCAGCGACUUCAAGACUAAGAUCAGUGAACUUUUCUAGGGCUAGUGAAUUCAUCCUCAAGGCCAGCGAACUGCUCCUAGGGUGAUUUCAUUUUUUUUACAUCGGAUUGAGAAUCAAUUAGAUCUAUAAAAUCAACAUGGUAUUAGAGCGGGUUGAUUGUAUCAAACAAGAUUAUCACAGAUUAUGGUCUAAGAGUCAAAUUGAUGCAAUUGCUACUGGCCAUCAAGUCUCCUUUCCCUGGGUCAUGGCUCUAACAGUAACCUUUUUGGUGAGAAAGAAUGCAUUUAAUGUUUAGACGACUUUCUGUGGGCCACAAUUUUGGUGGGCUUGAAAAUGGUCGUCAUUUUCAGAAUGUUGUGAUUCCAUUGAAGGCCUCAAUUUAUAUUUUGAAGGUUGGUUGUGGUUGCAGCUCUGAGGCAGAGAUUCAACAAUUAUGUGUGUCUCUCAUCAAGAUCCAGAGGCCUGGGGAUGUUAUUUCAACAAUUUUUGUUCAAUAUGUUACAGUUAGAACAAUCUAGUUCAUCCAUGAUGAGUGAAUAAGCUAGAAAAGGAUGUCGUUGACGGAUGUUGGUUGUCCUAUGACAAUGAUAUUGAUCUUUUCAUAGACAACACAUUCUCGAUAUGGUGCUAUAUAUCAGGUUUUGUAUGACUGUAGCUAUUGACUGUAAUCUGACCUACUUCAAACA
Cryptomeria japonica (Japanese cedar) is the source of this 924-nucleotide long non-coding RNA. RefSeq lists it as uncharacterized. The transcript has 2 exons. The record is from RefSeq and is a predicted model, not a curated record. NCBI's taxonomy places the organism in Eukaryota, Viridiplantae, Streptophyta, Pinopsida, Cupressales, Cupressaceae.